UACGGAGGGUGCGAGCGUUGUCCGGAAUCACUGGGCGUAAAGGGUGCGCAGGUGGGUUGGCAAGUUUGAUGUGAAAGCCCCGGGCUUAACCCGGGAAUGGCAUUGAAUACUGCUGAUCUGGAGGAUCGGAGGGGGGACUGGAAUUCUUGGUGUAGCAGUGAAAUGCGUAGAUAUCAAGAGGAACACCAGUGGCGAAGGCGAGUCCCUGGACGAUACCUGACACUGAGGCACGAAAGCCAAGGGAGCAAACAGG
Molecule: ribosomal RNA, 253 nt
Filed under: uncultured bacterium
Lineage: Bacteria
Description: partial 16S ribosomal RNA
Rfam family: Bacterial small subunit ribosomal RNA
Source: RNAcentral